Molecule: transfer RNA, 73 nt
Organism: Capsaspora owczarzaki ATCC 30864
Lineage: Eukaryota; Filasterea; Ministeriida; Capsasporidae
Rfam family: tRNA
About the family: Transfer RNA (tRNA) molecules are approximately 80 nucleotides in length. Their secondary structure includes four short double-helical elements and three loops (D, anti-codon, and T loops).
Source: Rfam
GGGCUUGUAGCUCAUUUGGUAGAGCGCAUCGUUAGCAUCGAUGAGGUCAGCGGUUCGACUCCGUUCAAGUCCA